Molecule: ribosomal RNA, 403 nt
Filed under: bacterium
Lineage: Bacteria
Description: partial 16S ribosomal RNA
Rfam family: Bacterial small subunit ribosomal RNA
Source: RNAcentral
UGGGGAAUAUUGCACAAUGGGGGAAACCCUGAUGCAGCGACGCCGCGUGAACGAAGAAGGUAUUCGUAUCGUAAAGUUCUGUCCUAUGGGAAGAUAAUGACAGUACCAUAGAAGAAAGCUCCGGCUAAAUACGUGCCAGCGGCCGCGGUAAUACGUAUGGAGCGAGCGUUGUCCGGAAUUAUUGGGCGUAAAGGGUACGCAGGCGGUUUAAUAAGUCGAAUGUUAAAGAUCGGGGCCCAACCCCGUAAAGCAUUGGAAACUGAUAAACUUGAGUAGUGGAGAGGAAAGUGGAAUUCCUAGUGUAGUGGUGAAAUACGUAGAUAUUAGGAGGAAUACCAGUAGCGAAGGCGACUUUCUGGACACAAACUGACGCUGAGGUACGAAAGCGUGGGGAGCAAACAGG